RNAcentral lists this long non-coding RNA (4042 nucleotides) under Sus scrofa (pig). Its description in RNAcentral is "lncRNA (ENSSSCG00045036487.1)". Lineage: Eukaryota; Metazoa; Chordata; Mammalia; Artiodactyla; Suidae. The record is from RNAcentral.
UUAGGAGAUGCAAACUCUGCAUUUGGAGUGGAUAAGCAGUGAGAUGCUGCUGUAUACCGAGGACAUUUUAAUUGAGUCAAAUGGAACAUGCUUUUAAUCAGGUUUCAGUAUUAUAGUUUCUGGAAAGUGCCUUGAGACCUCUCAAUAAUCUUACCAAAUCAGCAUUUCAAUUUUGGUGCCUGUGAGUGUGAAGAGAGUCACUGGUAAACUAACUGGCUUCCCUGUGGAGCAUCGCUGCAGCCUCUGGAGGGAAACAGUCCUAACUUAGACUGAAGGAUGAGAUCACAGUAGAAAGCAGGGUGAGCAGGAGGGGUUGUUGGCCAGAUAGAUGGUUCGGAGAUCUAGAUCACCUUAAGAACUCGUUUAUUCCAAUGUUCCUUUGGAGUCUGUAGCGAACACUUGCCGAUCGCGUCCCCUAAAUCCCUUUCGCCCUUUCUCCAUCCCAGCAGUGCCUUAAUUUCUGGUAAGACAUCUGUGUGGCUCUUGGGGAUGACAGCUGCGUCCACCCUUAAGGUCUGGCUCCUCAGCAAGUUCCACCCCUUGGCCGGCAUGAUUACUUGGGAUGGGGCCUGCUGACCUAAGAGGUGCAGUCUGAGUAAGCUCUGGUUGGUGUCGUGUCAGGUGUGAUUUGGUUACAGGAAGUGACUGUCAAUCCUGUGCUCUGACCCUGGGCUUCUAAAGGGGUUCGCACCCUUGUAGACAUGCACUUGGAGUGAAGAGGGUUCGGAAGGAGCCAGUGCCUCCCUGUCGGGGCUGCUCUGAAGACUGAAUGGGAGCUCAUAAGGUACUUUGUGGAAAGUCUGGCAUAAAAUAGAAAUUCAUGUUUUAAGGACGUUUUGAAUUAGCAAUGACAGAAACUACCUCAGACAAAAGUGCAGAGCUAGAAGGGUAUUGGAUACGUACUAAGGAAACUCAGAAAAUGGAAAGAAAUAUUCUGGAUACCCGGGUAACUUCAGGGGCUUUGGGCACCACAAUCAUAUUUCAGGGCCCCCAGGGCUCUCCUUGUGUCUCAUCUCGGCUCGUCUGUGGUUGGAUUUCUUUUUUCCAGGUAAUAGGAAAGAAGAUCACCCACAGCCUCCAGCCCUCCUGUCUCUGUGACCCGAAAGGCAAGGUCCCUACUCCAAACUGAAAAAUCUUGGGGAAGGAGGCUAACAGCUUGGGUCAGAGUCCCACCCCUGGACUGUGAGCUGUGGCCAGGGAUUGGAAAACUUAGUCGGUCAGACCGGGGCUGCGCCAGCUCUACCUGACCCUCCCCAGUCGACGGGGUGGGGGGUGCGUGGCAGCCCCGCCCAGAAUCAUGUUCUCGUUGAAGAACAGUUUUCCUCAAAUGACGCUGAAUAGUAAAACAGGUGUCCAUAAUUAUUUGGUAUUUUGCACUCCUUCCUAAACAGAUUUAUUCUUCUACUCUCUCUAACUGGGAUGGGAAGCAGGAAAUGAGAAAGUAUGGGGGAAGAUGACGCGAAUUUUAUUGUUUGCUUACUAUGUAGUAAGUAACUUGUGCGUGGAUUAGCCUAUUACAUUGAAUCGUUACUACAAUAUGGCAAAGUAGAUAAUAUUGCCAUUUCAGCCAAAAACAAGCUUAGGCUAAGAAAUUAGCCCCGGACCACCACACAUCCCGGUGAUGGGUCCUCUUGUCUCCAAAGUGUACCAUGCUCCUCAGAAUGAAGUCAGCUUCCCUUUCCUGGUCACCAUGCCACUCUCCCUUCCUCCACUGGUCUCUCCCACCGUCUCUCCUGUCAGGAGCCUCGCUUAGACUUGGAACCUAGGUUCUUCCAGACCUAGGUGGGAUUCUUGCCUCAUCCCAUCAUAGACAAAGGAUGUAUUCUCCCCUAAUAGCGAUGCUUGGGUGUUGACCAAAAACUAGAGAACACAUUUCUGAACACAGCCUUUUACUUAAGUAGUGAAAAAAGUAGUAGCAAGCACUGGAUGGCCUGUAUUUGAAUCCCACUACCUACCAACUAGGCAACACAUUCUGUGCUUCGACUUAUAUAAAGUGACGCUAAUGAUGGAACCUAGCUCAUUUGUUUCAAGGAUGAAAUGAGUUAACAUACAAAGCACUUAGAACAGAGUACACAGCAACUAUUCUAUCAGUGUUAGCACUCACUGUUUAAAAUGUGUUGCUCAUUAUUAGUGGAUUCUUCUGGCUAAUGCCAAAACAGGCAGACUUUUCACUUAAGGAAUCUUCAUUUUGCUACUUGAGUUCACAUCUGGAUUAUAUGCCUUUCGCUCUCAAAGAAGCAAACCCAUCUUAGUAUAAUCUAAGGCAGAAAUAAACUACCUAGGCUCCAGGGAGCACAAUUCUAAGAGGGAAACAGUUUCCCUGACUGUCUGGUCCUGUUCACACACCCGCUGUUAACGUUCCCCCGUAGGUCCCUUUAUCAUACCUACAUACUGAUCUUGUAAACACACGAGUUUAAGUGAGCUCCUUCUGUCAGAUCUGUCGGACUAUGGAAACACGAGAGUCUGGAGCGCCCCAGAGUUACUUCCUGCAGGUGCUGAAGGUGAUGUGGCAGAAGAGAGGUACAGAAGUGGGAGGGUCUGAGCGUGUGUGGUCGGAGAGCCUGUGUAUGUGGCUUCUGAAUGGAAUACACUUUCCUGAGUGAAGAGCUGGGAAAACAUGGCAGUGUUUCAGGGUUGCACAGCCCCCAGAGAGAAUCUAAAGAGCGCUGUGGGUGAUGCAUUAAUGCCUGAGUCAAAGAGGGAGUGGGAAGGCCAUGGCACUCACUGGCUGUGUAAGCUUCACAGGUUUGGGGGUGGCCCCAUCUGCCCCCCUCUCUAGCUCAGAUUAGCACCCAAUUCUAGGAUUGGAUCUGAAACUCAUUGGUAAUGCCUAAAUCUGAAGAUUUGGCUUCUACAGCAGUGGCCGCAUUUGAAACAAUACACCAUAUGUCGUUAAGCUGUUUAGUGGGUACUGGUCUGCUUAUGCAUCUCUCUGUAAUUUUACCAUAUAUUUGCUGUAUAGCAGUUAAAUGCUUUUCCGUAUGAAACGUUUUGCAACAAAAACAUCCCCCAUGUCUGUGAGACUAGAAAGACAUUUUAUGCAGAAGCAGAGCCUUGAAUUUCUCAAACUGUAUCUGGAUCAAAAGACAAAAGUCAGACUACUCCAAAAUCAAAAUGAAUACCUGUAGCCUUUGAUUUCAAAAGGUCAGUAUGAUGGAUGAGAAUAUUUCUGUAAUAGUAUUUUGAUUCAGAUGCUUGACUAUUGGAAAACUUGUGGUUUGUGGUCUUCCCUUUGUUACCCAUGUCCCUGGGGGGGGAAACCGAAUUUUCAUUAGAUGUUGCAAUUAAAACAACCUCUGAAUAGAUUUGAUCUGUUCUUGACUGAAGGUCCAGCUUAGCAACUGCAUUCUGGGGUUUGCUCCCUUCCCCCACCCUCUGCCUGUUGUAUGCACAGAAUCAAUAAAACGUUCUUUCUUAGUUCUUAGCUCCCCGAUGUGUCUGCCCACCCACUCCGAGGGAGUAAUGGGUCGCACCUUCGUACUUGUGUAGAACUGUGUAUCCUCGCCUUAUGGCACCUCCCACACUGUAUUACUGCUGCAUGUGAUCUCCGACUCCAUCAGAAGAUUCAAACCUGGAAGAUAGGGAUAUUCUUAUUCUUCUUGGUGUUUUUAGCUUUCAGCAUAAUGCCUGGCAGAUAAGAGGCAUUCAACAAAUAUUUGAAUGAUCAUCAUUUUAUACAUUAAGAAAUGGGGGAUUGGUGAGGUAUAAUGACUUGACUAACAUAUCGGGUCAGUGGCAGACCCGGGACUAGAACCUAGGGCUUCAUGUCUCUCCCCCGGCUCCCUAGGUCUUUCAUUAUCAUAGGUGUUGACAUGGACCGUAAGGUCCUACACAGACAUCAUUUUAUAACGAGUUCAGGAGUUCCCUUGUGGUGUAGAGGAAAUGAAUUCGACUAGGAACCAUGAGGUUGUGGGUUCGAUCCCUGGCGUCGUUCAGUGGGUUAAUAAGGAUCUGGCGUUGCCGUGAGCUGUGGUGUAGACCCGCAGCUGUAGCUCUGAUUCGACCCCUAGCCGGGAACCUCCACAUGUGUGUGUGCAGCCCU